GUGCUUGCUUCAGCAGCACAUAUACUAAAAUUGGAAUGACACAAAGAAGAUUAGCAUGCCCCUGUGCAAGGAUGAUGCGCAAAUGUGUGAAGUGUUCCAUGUUUUU
Balaenoptera acutorostrata (minke whale) is the source of this 106-nucleotide small nuclear RNA. The record is from RefSeq and is a predicted model, not a curated record. NCBI's taxonomy places the organism in Eukaryota, Metazoa, Chordata, Mammalia, Artiodactyla, Balaenopteridae.